GACAGAGGGUGCAAACGUUGUUCGGAAUUACUGGGCGUAAAGCGCGUGUAGGCGGCAAUAUAAGUCGGAUGUGAAAUCCCGCGGCUCAACCGUGGAAGUGCACCCGAAACUGUAUCGCUAGAGUCCCGGAGAGGAUGGUGGAAUACUUGGUGUAGAGGUGAAAUUCGUAGAUAUUCGCAAGAACACCAGUGGCGAAGGCGGCUCACUGGCCCGAUACUGACGCUGAGGCACGAAAGCGUGGGGAGCAAACAGG
RNAcentral lists this ribosomal RNA (253 nucleotides) under uncultured bacterium. RNAcentral's name for it is "partial 16S ribosomal RNA". It matches the Rfam family "Bacterial small subunit ribosomal RNA", at positions 524 to 776 of the family's 1533-position model. The record is from RNAcentral.